This is a transfer RNA of Felis catus (domestic cat), 85 nucleotides long. It matches the Rfam family "tRNA". Rfam says of the family: Transfer RNA (tRNA) molecules are approximately 80 nucleotides in length. Their secondary structure includes four short double-helical elements and three loops (D, anti-codon, and T loops). Further hydrogen bonds mediate the characteristic L-shaped molecular structure. tRNAs have two regions of fundamental functional importance: the anti-codon, which is responsible for specific mRNA codon recognition, and the 3' end, to which the tRNAs corresponding amino acid is attached (by aminoacyl-tRNA synthetases). tRNAs cope with the degeneracy of the genetic code in two manners: having more than one tRNA (with a specific anti-codon) for a particular amino acid; and 'wobble' base-pairing, i.e. permitting non-standard base-pairing at the 3rd anti-codon position. The record is from Rfam. NCBI's taxonomy places the organism in Eukaryota, Metazoa, Chordata, Mammalia, Carnivora, Felidae.
GCCUGGCUGGCUCAGUCAGUUAAGCAUCUGACUUUGGCUUAGGUCAUGAUCUCAUGGUUCGUGGGUUCGAGCCCCGCAUCAGGCU